UAACACGUGGGUAACCUGCCUGUAAGACUGGGAUAACUCCGGGAAACCGGGGCUAAUACCGGAUGGUUGUUUGAACCGCAUGGUUCAGACAUAAAAGGUGGCUUCGGCUACCACUUACAGAUGGACCCGCGGCGCAUUAGCUAGUUGGUGAGGUAACGGCUCACCAAGGCGACGAUGCGUAGCCGACCUGAGAGGGUGAUCGGCCACACUGGGACUGAGACACGGCCCAGACUCCUACGGGAGGCAGCAGUAGGGAAUCUUCCGCAAUGGACGAAAGUCUGACGGAGCAACGCCGCGUGAGUGAUGAAGGUUUUCGGAUCGUAAAGCUCUGUUGUUAGGGAAGAACAAGUGCCGUUCAAAUAGGGCGGCACCUUGACGGUACCUAACCAGAAAGCCACGGCUAACUACGUGCCAGCAGCCGCGGUAAUACGUAGGUGGCAAGCGUUGUCCGGAAUUAUUGGGCGUAAAGGGCUCGCAGGCGGUUUCUUAAGUCUGAUGUGAAAGCCCCCGGCUCAACCGGGGAGGGUCAUUGGAAACUGGGGAACUUGAGUGCAGAAGAGGAGAGUGGAAUUCCACGUGUAGCGGUGAAAUGCGUAGAGAUGUGGAGGAACACCAGUGGCGAAGGCGACUCUCUGGUCUGUAACUGACGCUGAGGAGCGAAAGCGUGGGGAGCGAACAGGAUUAGAUACCCUGGUAGUCCACGCCGUAAACGAUGAGUGCUAAGUGUUAGGGGGUUUCCGCCCCUUAGUGCUGCAGCUAACGCAUUAAGCACUCCGCCUGGGGAGUACGGUCGCAAGACUGAAACUCAAAGGAAUUGACGGGGGCCCGCACAAGCGGUGGAGCAUGUGGUUUAAUUCGAAGCAACGCGAAGAACCUUACCAGGUCUUGACAUCCUCUGACAAUCCUAGAGAUAGGACGUCCCCUUCGGGGGCAGAGUGACAGGUGGUGCAUGGUUGUCGUCAGCUCGUGUCGUGAGAUGUUGGGUUAAGUCCCGCAACGAGCGCAACCCUUGAUCUUAGUUGCCAGCAUUCAGUUGGGCACUCUAAGGUGACUGCCGGUGACAAACCGGAGGAAGGUGGGGAUGACGUCAAAUCAUCAUGCCCCUUAUGACCUGGGCUACACACGUGCUACAAUGGACAGAACAAAGGGCAGCGAAACCGCGAGGUUAAGCCAAUCCCACAAAUCUGUUCUCAGUUCGGAUCGCAGUCUGCAACUCGACUGCGUGAAGCUGGAAUCGCUAGUAAUCGCGGAUCAGCAUGCCGCGGUGA
RNAcentral lists this ribosomal RNA (1268 nucleotides) under Bacillus velezensis. RNAcentral's name for it is "bacterial SSU rRNA". It matches the Rfam family "Bacterial small subunit ribosomal RNA", at positions 111 to 1365 of the family's 1533-position model. The record is from RNAcentral. Lineage: Bacteria; Bacillati; Bacillota; Bacilli; Caryophanales; Bacillaceae.